GAUGAAGAACGUAGCGAAAUGCGAUAAGUAAUGUGAAUUGCAGAAUUCCGUGAAUCAUCGAAUCUUUGAACGCACAUUGCGCCCUCUGGUAUUCCGGGGGGCAUGCCUGUCCGAGCGUCAUUUGCAACCCUCAAGCCCGGCUUGUGUGAUGGGUGCCGUCCCCUACGGGACGCGCCCCGAAGGCAAUGGCGGCGUCGCGGUUAUCCGAUCAGCCAAAGUGUAUGGGGCUUUGUCACUCACUUUACGGCCCGGACCGGCGCCAGUCCGAAUCAAUCUUUUUUCUAAAGUUGACCUCGGAUCAGGUAGGGAUACCCGCUGAACUUAAGCAUAUCAAUAAGCGGAAGA
Molecule: unclassified non-coding RNA, 345 nt
Filed under: soil metagenome
Description: partial contains 5.8S ribosomal RNA, internal transcribed spacer 2, and large subunit ribosomal RNA
Rfam family: 5.8S ribosomal RNA (bases 1-120)
Source: RNAcentral